GAUGAAGAACGCAGCGAAAUGCGAUAAGUAAUGUGAAUUGCAGAAUUCAGUGAAUCAUCGAAUCUUUGAACGCACAUUGCGCCCUCUGGUAUUCCGGGGGGCAUGCCUGUUCGAGCGUCAUUAUAACCACUCAAGCUCUCGCUUGGUAUUGGGGUUCGCGGUUUCGCGGCCCCUAAAAUCAGUGGCGGUUCCUGUCGGCUCUACGCGUAGUAAUACUUCUCGCGAUUGAGUUCGAUAGGUCUACUUGCCAGUAACCCCCAAUUUUUACAGGUUGACCUCGGAUCAGGUAGGGAUACCCGCUGAACUUAAGCAUAUCAAUAAGCGGAGGA
This 329-nucleotide unclassified non-coding RNA is filed under the name soil metagenome. RNAcentral describes it as "partial contains 5.8S ribosomal RNA, internal transcribed spacer 2, and large subunit ribosomal RNA". The stretch from base 1 to 120 matches the Rfam family "5.8S ribosomal RNA", at positions 35 to 154 of the family's 154-position model. The record is from RNAcentral.